AGACACGGCCCAGAACUCCUACGGGAGGCAGCAGUAGGGAAUUCUUCCGCAAUGGACGAAAGUCUGACGGAGCAACGCCGCGGUGAAGUGAUGAAGGUUUUCGGGAUCGUAAAACUCGGUGUUAAGGGAAGAACAAGUACAAGAGGUAACUGCUGGUAACCCUGGACGGUACUAAACCAGGAAAGCCCCGGGCAAAUACGUGCCCACCACGCCCCCGGGUAAAUACCGUUAGGUUGCCAAAGCCGUGGUUCCCGGGAAUUAAUGGGGCCGUAAAAGCGGCGGCGCCAAGCCGGUUCCCUUAAAGUUCUGAAUGUUGAAAGCCCCCCGGGUUCAACCCUUGGAGGGUCAAUUGGAAACUUGGGGGGACUUGGAGUGCCAGAAGAAGAAGAGUUGGAAUUCCCACCGUGUAGCCGGUGAAAUGCGUAGAGAUGUGGAGGAACACCAGUGGCGAAGGCGACUCUUUGGUCUGUAACUGACGCUGAGGCGCGAAAGCGUGGGGAGCAAACAGGAUUAGAUACCCUGGUAGUCCACGCCGUAAAC
This 540-nucleotide ribosomal RNA is filed under the name uncultured bacterium. RNAcentral's name for it is "bacterial SSU rRNA". It matches the Rfam family "Bacterial small subunit ribosomal RNA", at positions 322 to 807 of the family's 1533-position model. The record is from RNAcentral.